RNAcentral lists this ribosomal RNA (116 nucleotides) under Pteropus alecto (black flying fox). Lineage: Eukaryota; Metazoa; Chordata; Mammalia; Chiroptera; Pteropodidae. The record is from RNAcentral.
GUCUACACUCAUGCUACCCUGAACAAGUCUGAUGUCCGAUUUCAGAAGCUAAGCAGGAUUGGGCCUGGUUAGUACUUGGAUGAGAGAUCACUCAGGAAGAACAGGUGCUGUAGGCA